AGGGAUAUAGCUCAGGGAUAGAGCACAUGCUUAGCAUGUACAAGCCUGGGUUCAAUCCCCAGUACCUCUA
Molecule: transfer RNA, 70 nt
Filed under: Camelus bactrianus (Bactrian camel)
Lineage: Eukaryota; Metazoa; Chordata; Mammalia; Artiodactyla; Camelidae
Also listed under: 2 other names
Rfam family: tRNA
About the family: Transfer RNA (tRNA) molecules are approximately 80 nucleotides in length.
Source: Rfam by way of RNAcentral